RNAcentral lists this long non-coding RNA (909 nucleotides) under Varroa destructor (honeybee mite). Its description in RNAcentral is "uncharacterized LOC111252531, transcript variant X3". Lineage: Eukaryota; Metazoa; Arthropoda; Arachnida; Mesostigmata; Varroidae. The record is from RNAcentral.
UUUUGCCCAUGUAUGUUUGUAUAAAUUAUUCUAAGUAGUAGCUCCACAAGCGAGAAAGAGCCAAGGAACGAGUCGACUAGAUCCAAUGGCUGCCUACGGCCAUAUCGUUACUGGCGAACUCUUUUCCUGGCAGUGGCCUCGUGAUUUGCCGGUCGCGUUCACUAUUUCUGUCGCACCUAUCCACUCUUCUCGGAAGAUCAAAAGCUGUGCUACUAUUUUACUGUGACUACCGUCUGUCCGGACUACCUCGCAGCCUCAUGCUCUAAAGCCUCUUUUGGACACUACUGCAGAAGUUAAGAGGUGUACGGUGACGAAAAGUUGACUUAUUUCUACGACAAGCGAGAAGUUCACAGCUGCCACUUCGGAUAGAAUAAAACUGCUCACUUAUAGAGCUGCUCAAAUACACCUGUGACAAUAUUUAACAGAAACGCGUAAGAGAAUGAGGAUUGAUAUCCAACAAAGUGACAUGGGUUACCUGUUCGAUUCAAAGCACUUAGUUCACGAGUUGGCAGCGAUCAUCUGGGAGAUUCGCCGAACAAGGUCGUCGAGACUGGCAAAAUAAAGAUGUGGAAAGAACAAUUACCUGCACCAGUUACGUGAGGCUCCUGGAAGUCGAUUCUACUUUUAUUAUGUUCAGUUAGCGUCCUUUAACAGGCUCAAUGGGGCAUGUUGUGCCUUAGCUACCGAAAUUUCAAAAAAAGAUAUCGUUUUUAUUGUGAAAUACAACAUUUACCUGAAACUGUUACAUUAAAAUGUGAGCAAUAACUGGAAGAAUACAUUUCUAGAAUUUAUUUAGCAUAAUGCUGGUAAUCUUUUGCAAGUUGUUUUUCAAAAAAGGUACAUAGAACUUCAUCAUCUAUUGUCGGGUUUUCGAGUUAAAACCGUUGUGCUGCCCAGAUAUUGUUUAAU